Quercus lobata is the source of this 782-nucleotide long non-coding RNA. RefSeq lists it as uncharacterized. NCBI's taxonomy places the organism in Eukaryota, Viridiplantae, Streptophyta, Magnoliopsida, Fagales, Fagaceae. The record is from RefSeq and is a predicted model, not a curated record. The transcript has 3 exons.
GCCCGAUAAAAACCUAUUUCUCUGACUCUCUGUCUCUCCUUCAAACAUUGCAAGACCCAUACGCAGGAACCCAAAAACAGAAAACCUAGACACAGAGCUUUCUCUCUUCCCUGGCGACGGUAAGCUUCAAUUGAAGAAAGUGAAAUAGAUAGCCAUUCUCUUUGAUUUUCGGGUUGUGGCCUACUUCCUCUCAAAAGAGAUGAAGUGGAAUUUUUCACAAUGUAGAGACCCUAAUUUCAUCACAACAAAGGAAUUUUUGUUCAUACCCCUUUUCCUCUCUAUUUAUUGAUAUGAGGGAAAACCCCUAGAAGAUGAAAUCCUAUCUGAGUAUUAAUGGUUAGUGAUCUUUUAAACUUAAUCAUGUCACUUUAAUUUUCAAGUUUUGUUUUCCCACUUAUCUGUUCUGUUAUUCGUAAGGGGGAGUGAAAUUGGGGAAUUCUGUUGGUUUGAUCUACUUUUGGUUUUUUGGGUUGCUAUGGUUGAAUGGUUGGCCUUUGGUUCAAUGCCCUUAAAAAGGGGUUUUUAGCAAAUUUUUAAUUGUGUAGUUUCGGUAUUUGAUGUCCUCCACCAUAUGAAUUCUCAGUUUAUGCUCUAUUUGUAUUAAUAUGAGACCUUUAUUAUUAUUGUUUUUUUAUUAUUUUUUUUUAUUUAAUUAAAGUUUCUAGGUUAUCUCAAGCUUUGGUUUCAUGUUUAGUCUCUAUUUAUUUUGUAUUUUAGUUUGAUCCAAAUCUUCUUUAAGAGUAGCAUCUAGAUUUUUGAGGGGUUUUGUUUGAUUCUUUGUU